AAUCCAUAGGUUAAUGAGGCGAACCGGGGGAACUGAAACAUCUAAGUACCCCGAGGAAAAGAAAUCAACCGAGAUUCCCCCAGUAGCGGCGAGCGAACGGGGAGGAGCCCAGAGCCUGAAUCAGCAUGUGUGUUAGUGGAAGCGUCUGGAAAGGCGCGCGAUACAGGGUGACAGCCCCGUACACAAAAGCGCAUGUGCUGUGAGCUCGAUGAGUAGGGCGGGACACGUGGUAUCCUGUCUGAAUAUGGGGGGACCAUCCUCCAAGGCUAAAUACUCCUGACUGACCGAUAGUGAACCAGUACCGUGAGGGAAAGGCGAAAAGAACCCCGGCGAGGGGAGUGAAAAAGAACCUGAAACCGUGUACGUACAAGCAGUGGGAGCACAGGUUUACCUGUGUGACUGCGUACCUUUUGUAUAAUGGGUCAGCGACUUAUAUUCUGUAGCAAGGUUAACCGUAUAGGGGAGCCGUAGGGAAACCGAGUCUUAACCGGGCGUUAAGUUGCAGGGUAUAGACCCGAAACCCGGUGAUCUAGCCAUGGGCAGGUUGAAGGUUGGGUAACACUAACUGGAGGACCGAACCGACUAAUGUUGAAAAAUUAGCGGAUGACCUGUGGCUGGGGGUGAAAGGCCAAUCAAACCGGGAGAUAGCUGGUUCUCCCCGAAAGCUAUUUAGGUAGCGCCUCGUGAAUUCAUCUCCGGGGGUAGAGCACUGUUUCGGCUAGGGGGCCAUCCCGGCUUACCAACCCGAUGCAAACUGCGAAUACCGGAGAAUGUUAUCACGGGAGACACACGGCGGGUGCUAACGUCCGUCGUGAAG
Molecule: ribosomal RNA, 817 nt
Filed under: Salmonella enterica subsp. enterica serovar Choleraesuis
Lineage: Bacteria; Pseudomonadati; Pseudomonadota; Gammaproteobacteria; Enterobacterales; Enterobacteriaceae
Description: partial 23S ribosomal RNA
Rfam family: Bacterial large subunit ribosomal RNA
Source: RNAcentral